This 459-nucleotide ribosomal RNA is filed under the name uncultured bacterium. RNAcentral's name for it is "partial 16S ribosomal RNA". It matches the Rfam family "Bacterial small subunit ribosomal RNA", at positions 338 to 795 of the family's 1533-position model. The record is from RNAcentral.
CCUACGGGCGGCAGCAGUGAGGAAUAUUGGUCAAUGGGCGAGAGCCUGAACCAGCCAAGUCGCGUGAGGGAUGACGGUCCUAUGGAUUGUAAACCUCUUUUGUCGGGGAACAAAGGCGUCCACGUGUGGACUGAUGAGUGUACCCGAAGCACAAGCAUCGGCUAACUCCGUGCCAGCAGCCGCGGAAAUACGGAGGAUGCGAGCGUUACCCGGAUUUAUUGGGUUUAACGGGUGCGUAGGCGGACAGUAAAGUCAGCGGUAAAAAUGCGGUGCUAAACGCCGUACAGCCGUUGAAAUUGGCAGGCUUGAGUGGGCGAGAAGGAUGCAGAAUGCGUGGUGUAGCGGUGAAAUGCAUAGAGAUCACGCAGAACUCCGAUUGCGAAGGCAGCAUACCGGCGCCAUACUGACGCUGAGGCACGAAAGCGUGGGUAUCGAACAGGAUUAGAUACCCUAGUAGUC